AAUUUCAAACCCCGAAACUCUAUGAGCUGUAAUUUAUUUGUUCAGAACUCACUAGAUAGUGUUGCAAUACUACUAGAAAAAUAAACUACAGAGGCUACAUACCUACCGCAUAAAGUAAUAGCUGGUUUUUCACAAACCCAGUCUAAGCUGUAUAAAUUGAACACUUAAAAUAAACAAACAUUCAAUUAUUCAACAUAACUAAGGAUAAGCUUAGUUAAUCCCCUUAUUCUAAAAAAUAAUAAACAAAAGUAGGCCUAAAACCAGCCAACUCAAAAUUCGUUAUAGUACAAAAAAAAUAAAAAUUUAAAACAAAAUAAAUUAAAGUGAAAUAAUGUUUAAAACUAUAGAACAUAAAACUAUGCAAAGACUAGUAUUUAUCAAAAAUCCCACACAUAAUCUUUCAUCAUAUACAUACAGAAGGAACUCGGCAAACACUUGCUUCGACUGUUUAACAAAAACAUAGCCUGUUGUCAACAAAACAUAAUAGGUAACCCCUGCCCAGUGAAAACUUAAACGGCCGCGGUAUCCUGACCGUGCAAAGGUAGCAUAAUCACUUGCCUUUUAAUUGAAGGCUGGAAUGAAUGGACAAACGAAAGCAAAACUGUCUCCUCUAUAUACAUAAAAACUUAUCUUCAGGUGAAGAAGCCUGAAUACAUAUAAAAGACAAGAAGACCCUGUCGAGCUUUAGCCGGAAUAAAUAAAAAUAUCAAAAACAUAUUAAUUUAAUAACGGCUUUUGUUGGGGCGACAAAGGAAUAAAUCAAUCUUCCUAUAAAACACAGAUAAUUAAUCACAUAAAUGACCCAGUUUCUGAUCAAUAGAAAUAGCUACCGCAGGGAUAACAGACUAAUCCUCCUCAAGAGUCCAUAUCUACAGGAGGGCUUGGCACCUCGAUGUUGGCUUAAGAAUUCUUUUAGAUGCAG
This 922-nucleotide ribosomal RNA is filed under the name Eunice cf. antillensis JZ-2010. RNAcentral describes it as "partial 16S ribosomal RNA". It matches the Rfam family "Bacterial large subunit ribosomal RNA", at positions 704 to 2558 of the family's 2925-position model. Lineage: Eukaryota; Metazoa; Annelida; Polychaeta; Eunicida; Eunicidae. The record is from RNAcentral.